GCACAGAGUUGGCCGGGGCUUCCUCUGAAGGUACCGUCAGAUGCCGGCGGUUGUCGCGACGACACCCUUCUUUCCCUCUGACAGGGGUUUACGACCCGAAGGCCUUCGUCCCCCACGCGGCGUCACUCCGUCAGGCCUUCGCCCAUUGCGGAAAAUUCCCCACUGCUGCCUCCCGUAGGAGUCGGGACCGUGUCUCAGUUCCCGUGUGGCUGGUCGUCCUCUCAGACCAGCUACCCGUCAUCGCCUUGGUGAGCCGUUACCUCACCAACUAGCUGAUAGGCCGCGAGCCCCUCCAAGAGCGGCAGCUUGCGCCACCUUUCCUCCUCAGAUUUCGCAACCCGAGGAACGUAUCCGGUAUUAGCCUCCCUUUCGAGAGGGUAUCCCGAACUCGAGGGCAGGUUACCCACGUGUUACUCACCCGUGCGCCACUAGGACCGCCGAUGUAUUGCUACACCGAUGAUCCCCGUUCGACUUGCAUGUGUUAAGUACGCCGCCAGCGUUCGCU
This 505-nucleotide ribosomal RNA is filed under the name uncultured bacterium. RNAcentral describes it as "partial 16S rRNA". The record is from RNAcentral.